GAGUUUGAUUCUGGCUCAGAUUGAACGCUGGCGGCAUGCUUUACACAUGCAAGUCGAACGGCAGCACAAGGAGCUUGCUCCUGGGUGGCGAGUGGCGAACGGGUGAGUAAUGUAUCGGAACGUGCCUGGUAGUGGGGGAUAACCACUCGAAAGAGUGGCUAAUACCGCAUGAGAUCUCUGGAUGAAAGCGGGGGACCUUUGGGCCCCGCGCUACUGGAGCGGCCGAUAUCAGAUUAGGUUGUUGGUGGGGUAAAGGCCUACCAAGCCUGCGAUCUGUAGCUGGUCUGAGAGGACGACCAGCCACACUGGGACUGAGACACGGCCCAGACUCCUACGGGAGGCAGCAGUGGGGAAUUUUGGACAAUGGGCGCAAGCCUGAUCCAGCAAUGCCGCGUGCAGGACGAAGGCCCUCGGGUUGUAAACUGCUUUUGUACAGAACGAAAAGUCUCUGGCUAAUACCUGGGGAU
RNAcentral lists this ribosomal RNA (467 nucleotides) under Brachymonas sp. canine oral taxon 015. Its description in RNAcentral is "bacterial SSU rRNA". It matches the Rfam family "Bacterial small subunit ribosomal RNA", at positions 9 to 470 of the family's 1533-position model. The record is from RNAcentral. Lineage: Bacteria; Pseudomonadati; Pseudomonadota; Betaproteobacteria; Burkholderiales; Comamonadaceae.